Molecule: ribosomal RNA, 497 nt
Filed under: uncultured bacterium
Lineage: Bacteria
Description: partial 16S ribosomal RNA
Rfam family: Bacterial small subunit ribosomal RNA
Source: RNAcentral
GAUGAACGCUGGCGGCGUGCUUAAUACAUGCGAGUCGAGCGAACGGACGAGAAGUUUGCUUUUCUGAUGUUAGCGGCGGACGGGUGAGUAACACGUGGAUAACCUACCUAUAUGACUGGGAUAACUUCGGGAAACCGGAGCUAAUACCGGAUAAUAUCUUGAACCGCAUGGUUCAAUAGUGAAAGUCGGUCUUGCUGUCUCUUCUCGCUGGAUCCGCGCUGCAUUAGCUAGUUGGUAAGGUCACGGCUUAGCAAGGCAACGAUGCGUAGCCGAAGUGAGAGAGUGGUCGCCGACAUGAGAGGGUAGACGGCGUCCAGACUCCUACGAGAGGCAGCAGUAGGGAAUGUUACGCAGUAGGCGAAAACAUUGCGGAACGACGCCGCGUGAGAGGUGGAGGUCUUCGGAGCGUAAAACUCUGUUAUGAGUGGUGAACAUAUGUGUAAGUUGCUGUGCACAGCUUGACGGUACCUGGUCAGGAAGCCACGGCUAACUACGUG